Molecule: ribosomal RNA, 301 nt
Filed under: uncultured bacterium
Lineage: Bacteria
Description: partial 16S ribosomal RNA
Rfam family: Bacterial small subunit ribosomal RNA
Source: RNAcentral
CAGUAGCCGCGGUAAUACGAAGGGGGCUAGCGUUGUUCGGAUUUACUGGGCGUAAAGGGCGCGUAGGCGGACUGAUAAGUCAGGGGUGAAAUCCCAAGGCUCAACCUUGGAACUGCCUUUGAUACUGUUUGUCUUGAGUUCGAGAGAGGUAAGUGGAACUGCGAGUGUAGAGGUGAAAUUCGUAGAUAUUCGCAAGAACACCAGUGGCGAAGGCGGCUUACUGGCUCGAUACUGACGCUGAGGCGCGAAAGCGUGGGGAGCAAACAGGAUUAGAUACCCGCGUAGUCCCUGUCUCUUAUAC